Non-coding RNA from Misgurnus anguillicaudatus (oriental weatherfish), 2350 nucleotides. Lineage: Eukaryota; Metazoa; Chordata; Actinopteri; Cypriniformes; Cobitidae. The record is from RefSeq and is a predicted model, not a curated record.
GCUCGAGGUCAAAACACAGCUCAUUCAUACAAAUCAAACAGUGACACUGGCUAUAUGUCUGCUUUCUUUUUUAUAGCAAUAAAAGCAUAGAGACAUAUAAAGCAAAGACAACUAUAAGAUAAUCCUUCAGGAGCCAGUAAAACAUCUACAGUUACAGCAGUAAACAUACUUGUUAUGGGUGCAAAUAAGGAGACUUAGACAUGUCUCUGUGAAACUGACAAUCUCAGGUAGGAGCUGCUGGUUUGUGGUUGGCAGUAUGGAUCACGGUCUGCGACUCAUGAGGAUCUGGUCUGGAGACAUGAAGAGGUUGUCAACAGGCCAUCCAUCCAAGAUCAUCUAUCUGAGCUGCUGAAAACUGCCUCGGUACGGAUCUGUUGGAGCUUUGUGUCACUGACUGUAUUUCUGCAAAUUCCUGUUUCGUGUCACAUUGCUUAUGCAAGACUGAAUCCAUAAAGGUGAUGGUCUGUGGAGACUGUGGGCGAUUCCUUCUGCUGUCAUUUAAACAUGAGCGGGAGUAAUGACGGGUUUAAAUGGACGCAACUAAUAUUAUGCCAGAGUCUGCUGCUUAUGCUGUAACCAUAAUGCAACCAGGACAACACACCUGGAGUGACUGAGAGCAGGAUGAAGAAAGAAUCGGAUGAGAAAAUGUCAACUGGUGCCCAUGAGGAGACAUAUUGUUCUUGGACCUGCUUUUUCUGUUUAGUAAUAAGUGGUUUUAUGUGGUUACAUAAAAGUAAUUUAAUAUUCAAUCCACAAGCUAAAUUUCCUACAUUUUCUUAAAAGGGUAGUUGACCCAAAAAGGAAAAUUCUGUCAUUUACACAAACAGUUUGGUUACAAACAUUUCUCCCAAUAUCUGCCUUCCUGUUUAUCAGAACAAAGAAAUUUAUGCGGGUUUGUAACAACAUGAGAGUGUGUAAAUGAUGGCAUAAUUUUCAUUUUUGGGUGAAGUACCCCUUUAACAUUUUUAUACCCAGGGGUAGGGGUGUGCAGCGGAGUCAGUAUUUGUAUCUGUAACAGUCUCAAAAUUAUUUGUAUCUGUAUUUGUAUUCGGAUGGAACCGGAAGUGGGCGGGUCUUAAACCGGAAGUUUGUCAUAUUACAUUAAAAUGGCAUUUUAAAUGCAUUUUUGCUUUUUAUUAUAAUUAUAACUUAAAUAACUGUAAAUAUUUAUUAAAAAUAAUAAUACAAAAUUUUAAUCAAAAAGACAAAUAACUUGAUUCUCGUUAGUAAUACUCAUGGAAAGCAAACAACUCAUUUUUAAAGCCUCAUAAAGCUUGUGCUAUGCAUCAUUGUAUUGUAGCAUUAAAAUAACAAAUUUGAAAGCACGUUGACAUAACUGUAGGCUACAUCACCUUUAAAUGUUUAUUGUGCCUGUCAGCACAGUUUCAUGAGACCCAUUCUAUCUAAAUGAGUGCGAUGUUUUCAGAAAAAAUAAGUAGCCUACAUUAAUCCCUAGUCUAGAGAUUUAAAUAUAGUAAUUAAACAUCUAAAAUGAUCGUUAUUUGUAAGUUUUCUAAAAGAGUGAAAUAUAACCUAAUACUACUCAUAUAUCCAUGUCUGACAUCUUGGUUUCAGUUUAAAAACAUGCAGGAAUUUAAAAAUAAAAUGCAGGACUUGCUUGAUGUUUAAAGAGCUAUUAAGGGAGAUAAAGUUCGGGAACUGAUUUAUGUUAAAAAAGUUAUUAAGAUCGACAAACUCGCGCUGACUGACAGAUCCGAAAUGCAACGCAGAGACACGCAAGUGGCGCAGUAUAUGCACAGAAUAGUUCAAAAACAUCUGUUUUAAUAAGAAUUUACGAAAGCAUAGAACAAACUUGCUGAGCUCAUUUUUAUCUAUGUCCAUAUAGCGUUUGCGCGAAUAUAAGGAAUUGUUUAAAAAAAACUCUUAUUAAUCUUCAUCUAAAUAAAUAAAUAAUCAGAUAUUUGUUUAAAUUUUUAAAUAACAAUAUGCUCUAUUAAAAAUCAGUUUUGACUUAGUUCAAAACCAGCAACAUGAUUUAAAACAAUAAUGUAAUUAGAAAUAUUUAAUUCAAAUGUUUCAGUUGUUAUUUGCUUACUUUAUUUUUAUAUUAAUUGCAAUUCAUGUCAUAGUAUUCUUCAGUUUAAAUUUUGCUUUUAAAAUGUUACGUUUUCAUAUUUUUAUUUAUUUACUUUAUUUUAUUUUAUUUUAUUUAUUAUUUUAUUUUAUUUAAUUUAUUUUAUAUUCACCUAGAUUGACAAUAAAGCUUUCUUCGACUAGAAGUAAUUAAAAUAUCAUCUACCAGUGCCACAGAGAUACAGAGUUAUUAACGAAUAUUUUAUUAUCAGAGUGCAGCAUUUUAUCAAGGUUUUUUGGUCUAAUUAAAUAAAAC